GUUUACCCGUGGCUCCUUCUCUUGUUGGAUUUUUUGGAAAUAAAACUGUGAUUGUUUUUUAUCUUACAACUUUUUCAUGACCGAAUCGAGCGGCUUUGGAGGGAUGUGUGGACCGCAGUAACAAGCACAUACUAUGAUGUGCUGCACAGUCUCGAAGAACAGGGACUGCUAGACAUCUCAAACACGUUGCACAUCUUCCUGGUGCAUUUUGUGUUCCUACCUCGUCUACGCAGUGACCUUCAAACCUUCUCUGAGGGCUGGAACCAUCACCCACUCCGCACAGAAGGAAACAUGACCCCUCAGCAGUUGUGGCAAAUGGGGCUGCUGCAAAACAGCACAGCCGAGGUUGAUAAUGUUGAGGAUCUGCAAGAACUUGACAUUGACUGGGAGAGUGCCCUUCACAGUCAUGAGCACCUUCCAGAAUGUGGGGUUGUGGUCCCAGAUUUCCCCUCACCUCUAAGUGACCAAGAUGUGGCAGACCUUCAAACUGCUGUGGACCCUACAGCAUCAUCUGACAACCAUGGUCGAGACAUUUACUACCACUGUCUUCAGAUGUUUCAGUGAACGGUCAUUUUAUGUUAAUUAGAGGCCUCUAUAGUGCAAAUAGUGUUAAGUUUGGGGAUCAAGAAUGCACACACACUAUAUACUGUAUAUAUAAUUGCUAUAAAUCAAUCUUAAUGUUCUGUUAAUGUUCAUAUCACUGUUUAUUGUGUACUGUCUGAAUAUUUUGACAAAUUGUAUUUUUAUGCUUUGGCAACGUUGUUAAAGUUAGUUUCAUGCCAAU
Molecule: non-coding RNA, 784 nt
Organism: Labrus bergylta (ballan wrasse)
Lineage: Eukaryota; Metazoa; Chordata; Actinopteri; Labriformes; Labridae
Source: RefSeq, a predicted model, not a curated record